RNAcentral lists this ribosomal RNA (292 nucleotides) under uncultured bacterium. RNAcentral's name for it is "partial 16S ribosomal RNA". It matches the Rfam family "Bacterial small subunit ribosomal RNA", at positions 505 to 796 of the family's 1533-position model. The record is from RNAcentral.
GUGCCAGCCGCCGCGGUAAUACGGAGGGAGCUAGCGUUGUUCGGAAUUACUGGGCGUAAAGCGCACGUAGGCGGCUCAGCAAGUCAGGGGUGAAAUCCCGGGGCUCAACCCCGGAACUGCCCUUGAAACUGCUAAGCUAGAAUCCUGGAGAGGCGAGUGGAAUUCCGAGUGUAGAGGUGAAAUUCGUAGAUAUUCGGAAGAACACCAGUGGCGAAGGCGACUCGCUGGACAGGUAUUGACGCUGAGGUGCGAAAGCGUGGGGAGCAAACAGGAUUAGAUACCCUUGUAGUCC